Molecule: ribosomal RNA, 253 nt
Filed under: uncultured bacterium
Lineage: Bacteria
Description: partial 16S ribosomal RNA
Rfam family: Bacterial small subunit ribosomal RNA
Source: RNAcentral
UACAGAGGUCUCAAGCGUUGUUCGGAUUCAUUGGGCGUAAAGGGUGCGUAGGCGGCGGGGCAAGUCGGAUGUGAAAUCUCAGGGCUCAACCCUGAAACUGCAUUCGAUACUGCCUUGCUCGAGGACUGGAGAGGAGAUUGGAAUUCACGGUGUAGCAGUGAAAUGCGUAGAUAUCGUGAGGAAGACCAGUGGCGAAGGCGGGUCUCUGGACAGUUCCUGACACUGAGGCACGAAGGCCAGGGGAGCAAACGGG